RNAcentral lists this ribosomal RNA (468 nucleotides) under uncultured bacterium. RNAcentral describes it as "partial 16S ribosomal RNA". It matches the Rfam family "Bacterial small subunit ribosomal RNA", at positions 28 to 507 of the family's 1533-position model. The record is from RNAcentral.
GACGAACGCUGGCGGCGUGCCUAAUACAUGCAAGUCGAACGGAAAGGCCCUGCUCUUGCGGCGUUCUCGAGAGCCGAACGGGGGAGUAACACGUGAGUAACCUGCCCCUGACUUUGGGAUAACUUCAGGAAACAGCGGCUAAUACCGGAGAGGAUCUCCUGCUGCAUGGUGGGGGUUGGAAAGUGUCGGCCGUUGGGUAUGGACUCGCGGGUUAUCAGCUUCUUGGUGGGGUAGUGGCGUACCAAGCCUACGACGGAUAGCCGGCAUGAGAGGGUGGACGGGCACCAUGGGACUGCGAUACGGCCCAGUAUGCUACGGUACGCAACGGUGGGGAAUCUUGCGGAAUGGGCGGAAGCGAGAUACAGCAACGCCGCGUGCGGGAUGACCGCCUUCGAGUUGUAAACCGCUUUCGACUGUGACGAGGCGUGAGUGACGGUACUGGGUAAGAAAGCACCGGCUAACUACGUG